RNAcentral lists this unclassified non-coding RNA (705 nucleotides) under Hevea brasiliensis (rubber tree). Lineage: Eukaryota; Viridiplantae; Streptophyta; Magnoliopsida; Malpighiales; Euphorbiaceae. The record is from RNAcentral.
UAAAGGGAAUUAAAUAAUGGUUGGUCCAACACACACCAAACAAAAAUGAAAAAUAAAAAACUAUAUAUUUUGACCUCCAUAAUUGCAAAAGAAAACAUACUGGAUUGAAAGAGAAACAGCAAUACCUUAAAUUCUUCUUUCAAUGCUUUUAAAUAUUAUCUGAACUUGAAACACAAGAUACCUAACCAAGUAUAAUUUAUUUUAGUGUAUUUUUGUAGCAUUUUCUAUCAUUUCACUAUGGAGUCAGCUCAAAUCUAGGCAUGGCAACAAUGAAGAUCAGGGGCAGAUUUCAACUCUCCUGCCCAUUCCCUGCCACAAUAACACCCUCUCCAAUCCCACCCCAUCUAAAUUAGCACACAACUAAAUCCCCACAAAAUGCAUCACAAUGCCCACAACUGCACUGCCUCCCAGAGUCAACAAAAGUUGAGAUGGAUACCAGACCAACAUAAAUAUCUGUGGAUUUGGAAGUAGAGAUGCAAUACAGACCAAAUAUGUGGUUUACUUAUCUGAAAAAGGAAAGGAAAAAUAGGAUUUUUUAGAAAAAAAUUUCAUAGCAUCAUUUUCAAGAAUAUACUGUGUUAAUACCAUAAAUGAGAUCACAACAUACAAUUCAUCCUGGUAAAUUUUCAGUGGUCUCAAUGAAAAAUACUUAACCAUGAUCAAACAAUAUCUCAUCCUGUCUUAACUAUAACAUGCCAGUACUUA